CCUACGGGGGGCAGCAGUGGGGGAUAUUGCACAAUGGGGGGAACCCUGAUGCAGCGACGCCGCGUGGGUGAAGAAGGGCCUCGGCGCGUAAAGCCCUGUCAGCAGGGAAGAAAAUGACGGUACCUGAAGAAGAAGCCCCGGCUAACUACGUGCCAGCAGCCGCGGUAAUACGUAGGGGGCAAGCGUUAUCCGGAUUGACUGGGGGUCAAGGGGGCGCAGACGGCGAUGCAAGCCAGGAGUGAAAGCCCGGGGCCCCACCCCGGGACUGCUCUUGGAACUGCGUGGCUGGAGUGCAGGAGGGGCAGGCGGAAUUCCUGGUGUAGCGGUGAACUGCGUAGAUAUCAGG
This 346-nucleotide ribosomal RNA is filed under the name uncultured bacterium. Its description in RNAcentral is "partial 16S ribosomal RNA". It matches the Rfam family "Bacterial small subunit ribosomal RNA", at positions 338 to 701 of the family's 1533-position model. The record is from RNAcentral.